CUUGAGAUGCGCUUUUCCGGGGCAUUGAACUUGGGGUGGUGUUGACGUGUUUUUCCCGGACUUAUUUCUAUUUAAACCAGCUGACCUCCAGAGCCAAGCCUUCCAUAAUGCAAGAGCUCUUGAAGAGAAAUCAAUCAAAGUAUGAAGAAAAUGGAUUUGUGUUCUCAUCUUCAGAGGCGGGCAUUUCUCUAAAACCCUCCAUGAUUUAAUCACUGGUAGUAAGCCUGUGAGCACACACACACACACACACACACACACGUUUGUGAGUGCUGGGUAGGGUGAUCCAGGGUGCUCAAUGACCUGAAAUUCAAAUGUCACCUCUUCUUGUGGCUGCCUUGCCUUAAAUGGAUUUCCUAACCUCUCUGUCUCCUCUUCAACCAAGGGAGGCUUGUCUGCUACCACACCAGAUAUUGGGAGAACUACAGAAAAUCCCCAUAGUUUGCACCUCCCGCUGCAGAGUGGGAAGAGACACACAGACACAGCUGCAGAGUGGGAAGAGACACACAGACACAGGUCGCCAGGAUCCUCCAUCCCUUGAAGCAGACCCAUGGUUUGUGGGGUAGAGAAUCAUGUGGCCCCAGCUGCUCCAGGAUCCAGGUCAAGACUCCUGUCUCACACUCUACAGACAGAACUGAUGUGGCCCUGGGUCACAGCAUAACUAGCAGGGAGCCCAAGGAGCCAGGCCAGGCCAGGCCAGGAGCCUGGGCUAAGUAGUUUCUAGAACUAACCCCAUGUUAAAGUGGACAACUGUCAUCAAAGACCUGCCAGUGUGUCUUCUAGAACCAUCACAGACCCAGAGGCCCUUUCAGCAGCUGCACAACCCAAGCUGUAAUACAGCUGCAAUCUAGCCAGGCAUCAAUGGAGCUGGGGAACCUGCUUUAUUUGCAUCACAAGAUCAGCCUGGUACCUUAGUUCCCUGGCAGUGCAGGGGCAGCACUCCUCCUGUACAGGAGGCUCCAGCUUCUUUUGCUGGCCCCCUCUAGGACUGAGAGAGAGGGGAUGGGGCUCUCAUUAAGAAACAUCUCCACCGAGUCCACCAUGGUGUAGCCUCUGGUUUACAGGGACCUGAGCCACCAGAGCAGAAGUGUGCCUGUGAACAUGGACCAUCUGGGACCUUGUCAGGA
Molecule: long non-coding RNA, 1124 nt
Organism: Mus musculus (house mouse)
Lineage: Eukaryota; Metazoa; Chordata; Mammalia; Rodentia; Muridae
Product: predicted gene, 52798
Exons: 2
Source: RefSeq, a predicted model, not a curated record